CGUCGUGAAGAGGGAAACAACCCAGACCGCCAGCUAAGGUCCCAAAGUCAUGGUUAAGUGGGAAACGAUGUGGGAAGGCCCAGACAGCCAGGAUGUUGGCUUAGAAGCAGCCAUCAUUUAAAGAAAGCGUAAUAGCUCACUGGUCGAGUCGGCCUGCGCGGAAGAUGUAACGGGGCUAAACCAUGCACCGAAGCUGCGGCAGCGACGCUUAUGCGUUGUUGGGUAGGGGAGCGUUCUGUAAGCCUGUGAAGGUGUACUGUGAGGUAUGCUGGAGGUAUCAGAAGUGCGAAUGCUGACAUAAGUAACGAUAAAGCGGGUGAAAAGCCCGCUCGCCGGAAGACCAAGGGUUCCUGUCCAACGUUAAUCGGGGCAGGGUGAGUCGACCCCUAAGGCGAGGCCGAAAGGCGUAGUCGAUGGGAAACAGGUUAAUAUUCCUGUACUUGGUGUUACUGCGAAGGGGGGACGGAGAAGGCUAUGUUGGCCGGGCGACGGUUGUCCCGGUUUAAGCGUGUAGGCUGGUUUUCCAGGCAAAUCCGGAAAAUCAAGGCCGAGGCGUGAUGACGAGGCACUACGGUGCUGAAGCAACAAAUGCCCUGCUUCCAGGAAAAGCCUCUAAGCAUCAGGUAACAUCAAAUCGUACCCCAAACCGACACAGGUGGUCAGGUAGAGAAUACCAAGGCGCUUGAGAGAACUCGGGUGAAGGAACUAGGCAAAAUGGUGCCGUAACUUCGGGAGAAGGCACGCUGAUACGUAGGUGAAGCGACUUGCUCGUGGAGCUGAAAUCAGUCGAAGAUACCAGCUGGCUGCAACUGUUUAUUAAAAACACAGCACUGUGCAAACACGAAAGUGGACGUAUACGGUGUGACGCCUGCCCGGUGCCGGAAGGUUAAUUGAUGGGGUUAGCGCAAGCGAAGCUCUUGAUCGAAGCCCCGGUAAACGGCGGCCGUAACUAUAACGGUCCUAAGGUAGCGAAAUUCCUUGUCGGGUAAGUUCCGACCUGCACGAAUGGCGUAAUGAUGGCCAGGCUGUCUCCACCCGAGACUCAGUGAAAUUGAACUCGCUGUGAAGAUGCAGUGUACCCGCGGCAAGACGGAAAGACCCCGUGAACCUUUACUAUAGCUUGACACUGAACAUUGAGCCUUGAUGUGUAGGAUAGGUGGGAGGCUUUGAAGUGUGGACGCCAGUCUGCAUGGAGCCGACCUUGAAAUACCACCCUUUAAUGUUUGAUGUUCUAACGUGGACCCGUAAUCCGGGUUGCGGACAGUGUCUGGUGGGUAGUUUGACUGGGGCGGUCUCCUCCUAAAGAGUAACGGAGGAGCACGAAGGUUGGCUAAUCCUGGUCGGACAUCAGGAGGUUAGUGCAAUGGCAUAAGCCAGCUUGACUGCGAGCGUGACGGCGCGAGCAGGUGCGAAAGCAGGUCAUAGUGAUCCGGUGGUUCUGAAUGGAAGGGCCAUCGCUCAACGGAUAAAAGGUACUCCGGGGAUAACAGGCUGAUACCGCCCAAGAGUUCAUAUCGACGGCGGUGUUUGGCACCUCGAUGUCGGCUCAUCACAUCCUGGGGCUGAAGUAGGUCCCAAGGGUAUGGCUGUUCGCCAUUUAAAGUGGUACGCGAGCUGGGUUUAGAACGUCGUGAGACAGUUCGGUCCCUAUCUGCCGUGGGCGCUGGAGAACUGAGGGGGGCUGCUCCUAGUACGAGAGGACCGGAGUGGACGCAUCACUGGUGUUCGGGUUGUCAUGCCAAUGGCACUGCCCGGUAGCUAAAUGCGGAAGAGAUAAGUGCUGAAAGCAUCUAAGCACGAAACUUGCCCCGAGAUGAGUUCUCCCUGACCCUUUAAGGGUCCUGAAGGAACGUUGAAGACGACGACGUUGAUA
RNAcentral lists this ribosomal RNA (1873 nucleotides) under Shigella flexneri. RNAcentral's name for it is "partial 23S ribosomal RNA". It matches the Rfam family "Bacterial large subunit ribosomal RNA", at positions 1006 to 2858 of the family's 2925-position model. Lineage: Bacteria; Pseudomonadati; Pseudomonadota; Gammaproteobacteria; Enterobacterales; Enterobacteriaceae. The record is from RNAcentral.